GGCGGUGGCGGCUCUUAAAGGGGAGGCCGCGGUGUCGGCGCGCCCCCCCAGCACCUGCUGUGGCUGGGCAUGCGCCUUCACCCUUAGUGCCCAGCCUGCCUCUAUAUCGCUAGAUCAUUUUCUUUGAGCUUCAAGGUGGAGGCGAAGCUCCCUGCGGGGACCCUUUUGGUUCCAUCCUUUUGACUUUAGCUUCGGCCCACCUCCGGCCCUGCCCACAUCAGGUUGAAGGCCUCAAGAUCCCACCAGGAGCAACAGCUGCUUUAGUGCUUAACUGCCAGGCCCUGUGCUUAGAGCUUUGUAUGUUAUUCCAUUGAAUCCUCACAGCUACCCUAUAAGGCAGAAGUUAUAGUUAACCCUCAUCUUGAAGGCUCCAGGAUGUCCACCUGGGCUCCCGGGCCAGGCGUAGCUGCACCUGUCCACUCCACGCCUCAUCAAUAACCGCCAAAUCCCAGGUAAAAGGGAAUUUGUCCACAUGGUUUGAUCGGACUUUUGGAUGGUAAAUUGUGCUAGGGUUAGGGAUAUGUGAAAUUUAAUUUCAUGGGGAGGGGAUAGGAGAGAGAGGAGUCUCAAGUCAGUAAAAAGUUCAGAGACCUCAGCUCCACCCCCAUCAGAAAGUACAAUUGGUAGUGGAUGUCCUAUUUUUGAAGACAUUUAUAUCCAGAAUGUAGGCUAGCUCGCCUCCUGAUUUUCACCAAAGCAACUACAUUCCAGAGCAGCCCCUCCACUGCCCUCCUUCCCCGUCCCAUUUUACAGCUGCUAUAUCCUGGCACCUUUAUGUUGAGGUAUAAUCCUUUUGGAGGACCACACUAUUAAAAUGUCCCAACCAGGCUGUAAGGGCAUGCUCAGAGUUCUGUAUUUCAAAGACUCAUACCCAAACCUA
This is a non-coding RNA of Myodes glareolus (Bank vole), 880 nucleotides long. The record is from RefSeq and is a predicted model, not a curated record. NCBI's taxonomy places the organism in Eukaryota, Metazoa, Chordata, Mammalia, Rodentia, Cricetidae.